Non-coding RNA from Phrynosoma platyrhinos (Desert horned lizard), 72 nucleotides. Lineage: Eukaryota; Metazoa; Chordata; Lepidosauria; Squamata; Phrynosomatidae. The record is from the annotation of a GenBank genome assembly.
ACCAGCAUAGCAUAGUGGUUUGAGUGUUGAACUAAAACUCUGGAGACCAGGGUUUGAUUCCCUGUUCAGUCA